GGGCCGUUAGCUCAAUUGGCAGAGCAGAGGACUUUUAAUCCUUUGGUUGUGGGUUCGAGUCCCACACGGCCUACCA
This 76-nucleotide transfer RNA is filed under the name Streptomyces carpaticus. Its description in RNAcentral is "tRNA-Lys". It matches the Rfam family "tRNA". From Rfam's summary of the family: Transfer RNA (tRNA) molecules are approximately 80 nucleotides in length. Their secondary structure includes four short double-helical elements and three loops (D, anti-codon, and T loops). RNAcentral also lists the same sequence under 6 other names. The record is from RNAcentral. Lineage: Bacteria; Bacillati; Actinomycetota; Actinomycetes; Kitasatosporales; Streptomycetaceae.